RNAcentral lists this ribosomal RNA (917 nucleotides) under Microbacterium sp. RU-12. RNAcentral's name for it is "bacterial SSU rRNA". It matches the Rfam family "Bacterial small subunit ribosomal RNA", at positions 70 to 998 of the family's 1533-position model. Lineage: Bacteria; Bacillati; Actinomycetota; Actinomycetes; Micrococcales; Microbacteriaceae. The record is from RNAcentral.
UGAAGCUGAGCUUGCUUGGUGGAUUAGUGGCGAACGGGUGAGUAACACGUGAGCAACCUGCCCUGGACUCUGGGAUAAGCGCUGGAAACGGUGUCUAAUACUGGAUAUGAGCUUUCACCGCAUGGUGGGGGUUGGAAAGAUUUUUCGGUCUGGGAUGGGCUCGCGGCCUAUCAGCUUGUUGGUGAGGUAAUGGCUUACCAAGGCGUCGACGGGUAGCCGGCCUGAGAGGGUGACCGGCCACACUGGGACUGAGACACGGCCCAGACUCCUACGGGAGGCAGCAGUGGGGAAUAUUGCACAAUGGGCGGAAGCCUGAUGCAGCAACGCCGCGUGAGGGAUGACGGCCUUCGGGUUGUAAACCUCUUUUAGCAGGGAAGAAGCGUGAGUGACGGUACCUGCAGAAAAAGCGCCGGCUAACUACGUGCCAGCAGCCGCGGUAAUACGUAGGGCGCAAGCGUUAUCCGGAAUUAUUGGGCGUAAAGAGCUCGUAGGCGGUUUGUCGCGUCUGCUGUGAAAACCCGAGGCUCAACCUCGGGCCUGCAGUGGGUACGGGCAGACUAGAGUGCGGUAGGGGAGAUUGGAAUUCCUGGUGUAGCGGUGGAAUGCGCAGAUAUCAGGAGGAACACCGAUGGCGAAGGCAGAUCUCUGGGCCGUAACUGACGCUGAGGAGCGAAAGGGUGGGGAGCAAACAGGCUUAGAUACCCUGGUAGUCCACCCCGUAAACGUUGGGAACUAGUUGUGGGGUCCUUUCCACGGAUUCCGUGACGCAGCUAACGCAUUAAGUUCCCCGCCUGGGGAGUACGGCCGCAAGGCUAAAACUCAAAGGAAUUGACGGGGACCCGCACAAGCGGCGGAGCAUGCGGAUUAAUUCGAUGCAACGCGAAGAACCUUACCAAGGCUUGACAUACACGGGAACA